GCCCGCGUAGCUCAGUUGGAUAGAGCGCCUGGCUUCGGACCAGGAGGUCGUGGGUUCAAUUCCUGCCGCGGGCACCA
Molecule: transfer RNA, 77 nt
Filed under: Candidatus Peribacteria bacterium RIFCSPHIGHO2_01_FULL_54_22
Lineage: Bacteria; Candidatus Peregrinibacteriota; Candidatus Peribacteria
Also listed under: 5 other names
Description: tRNA-Arg
Rfam family: tRNA
About the family: Transfer RNA (tRNA) molecules are approximately 80 nucleotides in length.
Source: RNAcentral